GACGAACGCUGGCGGCGUGCUUAACACAUGCAAGUCGAACGGCAAGGCCCUGCUUUUGUGGGGUGCUCGAGUGGCGAACGGGUGAGUAACACGUGAGUAACCUGCCCUUGACUUUGGGAUAACUUCAGGAAACUGGGGCUAAUACCGGAUAGGAGCUCCUGCUGCAUGGUGGGGGUUGGAACGUUUCGGCGGUUGGGGAUGGACUCGCGGCUUAUCAGCUUGUUGGUGGGGUAGUGGCUUACCAAGGCUUUGACGGGUAGCCGGCCUGAGAGGGUGACCGGCCACAUUGGGACUGAGGGACGGCCCAGACUCCUACGGGAGGCAGCAGUGGGGAAUAUUGCACAAUGGGCGGAAGCCUGAUGCAGCAACGCCGCGGGCGGGAUGACGGCCUUCGGGGUGUAAACCGCUUUCGCCUGUGACGAAGCGUGAGUGACGGUAAUGGGUAAAGAAGCACCGGCUAACUACGUG
This 468-nucleotide ribosomal RNA is filed under the name uncultured bacterium. RNAcentral describes it as "partial 16S ribosomal RNA". It matches the Rfam family "Bacterial small subunit ribosomal RNA", at positions 28 to 507 of the family's 1533-position model. The record is from RNAcentral.